UGCAAGUGAUGUUUAUCUCACGAUGGUCUGCUGAACCCCACAGUGAAUGGGGUUCUGAUUAAACUGACAUGUGUCUUAGCUGAUGCCUUUUG
Sceloporus undulatus (fence lizard) is the source of this 92-nucleotide small nucleolar RNA. RefSeq annotates it as small nucleolar RNA SNORD35. The record is from RefSeq and is a predicted model, not a curated record. NCBI's taxonomy places the organism in Eukaryota, Metazoa, Chordata, Lepidosauria, Squamata, Phrynosomatidae. The transcript has a single exon.